RNAcentral lists this ribosomal RNA (484 nucleotides) under uncultured bacterium. RNAcentral's name for it is "partial 16S ribosomal RNA". It matches the Rfam family "Bacterial small subunit ribosomal RNA", at positions 30 to 507 of the family's 1533-position model. The record is from RNAcentral.
AUUGAACGCUGGCGGCAUGCCUUACACAUGCAAGUCGAACGGUAACAGGUCUUUCGGGAUGCUUACGAGUGGCGAACGGGUGAGUAAUACAUCGGAACGUGCCUAGUAGGGGUGGAUAACUACUCGAAAGAGUGGCUAAUACCGCAUGAGAUCUAUGGAUGAAAGCAGGGGACCUUUGGACCUUGUGCUACUAGAGCGGCCGAUGGCAGAUUAGGUAGUUGGUGGGAUAAAAGCUUACCAAGCCUACGAUCUGUAGCUGGUCUGAGAGGACGAUCAGCCACACUGGGACUGAGACACGGCCCAGACUACUAAGGGAGGCAGCAGUGGGGAACUUUGGACAAUGGGCGCAAGCCUGAUCCAGCAAUGCCGCGUGUAGGAUGACGGCCUUCGGGUUGUAAACUGCUCUUGUACGGAAUGAAAAGUCUUGGGUUAAUACGCUGCGAUCAUGACGGUAACGUAAGAAUAAGCACCGGCUAACUACGUG